AGGACGAACGCUGGCGGCGCGCUUAACACAUGCAAGUCGAGCGAGAACCAGUCCUUCGGGACUGGGGACAGCGGCGAACGGGUGAGUAACACGUGGGUAAUCUGCCCUCGAUUCUGGGAUAGCCCGGGGAAACCGGAUUAAUACCGGAUAGCCUCUCGAGCUCUCGAGCUCUUGAGAAAA
This 180-nucleotide ribosomal RNA is filed under the name uncultured soil bacterium. RNAcentral describes it as "partial 16S ribosomal RNA". It matches the Rfam family "Bacterial small subunit ribosomal RNA", at positions 26 to 205 of the family's 1533-position model. The record is from RNAcentral.